This 162-nucleotide unclassified non-coding RNA is filed under the name uncultured fungus. Its description in RNAcentral is "sequence contains ITS1, 5.8S rRNA gene". The record is from RNAcentral. Lineage: Eukaryota; Fungi.
CCGAGUUGUGUCUCCCCCGGGAGCCAUCUCCACCCUGUGCGAACUAAAUCUGUUGCUUUGGCGGGCCGCAGCCCCGCUGCCACCGGUGUAUCUGGUGAGCGCCCGCCGGAGGUCUUUUAAAAUCUAUUUUAUAUGACGUCUGAGUAAGAAAAUAAAUGCGAA